Molecule: long non-coding RNA, 1716 nt
Organism: Zingiber officinale
Lineage: Eukaryota; Viridiplantae; Streptophyta; Magnoliopsida; Zingiberales; Zingiberaceae
Exons: 2
Source: RefSeq, a predicted model, not a curated record
CCUCCUCCUCCUCCUCGUAUUCUCCGUCCGACGACCGGGAGCAGCACUCCGCCGCGUGGUCCAGCUCCGCAAGCAUUUCGAACCGUCGGAUCCGGUGGAGCAAUUGCUCCGUCGUCCCUACACCACACGGCCAACAAGAUAUAGAGGAAGAAAUUGACGUGAUUUAAUAGCGCGGGCCCUACUCAAUCAAAGAAUCCAAAGAAAUUGUUCUUGCGGUGUCGAUACAAUACAACAAGGUACGGCUUCACACCUUUCAAAUCUCAUCAAUUAUUUUUUUCCCCACUUAAAUAGUUCAUUAUUUCAUUUUUUUUAAAAAAAUAUUUUAAAACCAAUCGUAGCCUUACUUUCAAUGGAGUCGAGGCUUCUAUAGAACUCCUCUUCCUCUUCAUCCUCCUUCACUAUCAAAACUGGACCCGGUCCAACCUUUCCGUCGAAUUCCUGUUUAACAAUAAGAAGAAGAGCUGAAUAAAUUAGAUAAUGAAAUUGAGUCAAACCGGGUCGAGCCCGAUUGGACCACAAGUCCGGUCCAGUCCGUGGGAGUAAAAAAUGACGAGACCAAAAGCCGUGCACGCAUGCCCCGGUCCCCACUCUUUCUGCGGACAGGCCCAGAAAAAGAUAAGAGAGUACUAUUCAUCAUAAUUAAUGGAAUAUUAACUUUACAUUACAUCAAUCCCUAUCCUAAACUUUCCGCCGGGCCUCUCGAUUAAUUACUAAUUACGCGCUUAGUUAUGUGUAGCAGUGUUUGUUGGUUUUCCGUUUGGAAGCCUCUAAUGAUGGUUAUAGGAUUCAUUAGGGUGGAUUUGGAGAGGCCCGUCGACGAUUUUAUGGUAUUAAAGCGCUGGAAAGCAGCGCACCUAAUUGUGGCUUUGGGGCCCCUAAAUAAUGGAGGGAGCACUGUUUGUCAAAUGUGGGGCCGAUGGUGCAAAAUUAGCGAAUUUUAAGGGGUGAUGUGAAGUUUUGUAAGUGGAGUGAUGUGAGUUUCGUUACUCACCGUCGCCGGCGAGGGGGUGGCGGUGGUGCUGGCGAUGGUGGCUUCUUCUUCUUCGUUUUCUGAUGGCUGCGACGACGAUGAGAGGGAUGACGAGUAUUCUUUCUUGGCUUCGCCGGAGGCGGUGGCUGGGUCGUAGGCGAGGACAGGGGAGGAGUCGACCGGCGACACGAAUCGGAGGGGCUGCCACCGGACGGGGUUCGCCCACGUGGCGUCUUCGACUGUGGCGGAUUUCUGCUCCGCCUCCGGCCUCUGUUUCUUCCUCUUCCAGGAGAGCACCGAGAAGGCGGUGCGCUCCGAGCGCGCCGCCUGCAGGCAGCGCCUUUUGACGGCCUCGAUGACGGCAGAGAAUUUACCGAGCGCAUUCCCGUUGGCCGUCGCCGCGUCUUGGACGGCGGUACUUCUCCCGGCCGUCUUCUUGCGAAGUUCGCCGUCGAGGAGGCUACGGACGGUGACAACGCCGCCGCCGCCGAGCACGAGGCCGUCGUCGUCGUCGUGGUCGAGCUCCAGGUACUCCUUGAGCAUGAGCGGCUUCGGCGCCACCAUCGGCGUCGUCAUCGAUCGAAUUGAGGGGGCGGAGGAGGGCCCGCACGAGGAGGAGGAGGAGGAGCUUCGUCGGCGAUUCGAUUGCUUCACGCCAUGGGCGAAAGCUGGGUGGGCUUCGUCUUGUUCGACGGCAUUUAUUAAUGGCCGAGCUUCUCCCCAACACUUUGAGUUUAUUUACUCCA